Molecule: long non-coding RNA, 618 nt
Organism: Galeopterus variegatus (Sunda flying lemur)
Lineage: Eukaryota; Metazoa; Chordata; Mammalia; Dermoptera; Cynocephalidae
Exons: 3
Source: RefSeq, a predicted model, not a curated record
CCACUCCACCCAUCCCAACCAAUGACAGCACCAGCUAUAGGCUUGAAGCCAGAACCUUCAUAGUCAUCGUUUAAUGUACUUUCAGUUGACUUGAGGUCUGCAGAGCCUCCUGACCAGUGGGAAAUCAACCUGUGACCUUCACGCAUCCUUUCUCUACUGUUAUGUCUUCCCCCUUCUGAUGCUGUCUAUGAUGUAGGAGAAACCAAUAGCCUAUGAAGCACCUCAGACGUUUAGGGAGCCAGCAAAGGAAGAGAAGGCCAAGAAGAAAGCUGAGAAGAAAUAGAAAGGCAGGAAAUUCUCUGACCUACCCUAGCUGACUGUACAUCCUAAGACCCCAUUUCAGAAGGGGUCCUGCCUCAUGCCCGGGAGGAAGGAAUGCUGUAUCAAGAUGUCAAGAAGAACCUGAAUAAGCAGGUCUUGCCGGGGUUCCCCAUCCAGUCCGUUAGUGUUAGAUCACACCCUUUUUGUCCAACCACAUUUCUAUAUGUCCAUGAUUCAAUCAUGCCUGGUAUCUUCAUGUUUUAAUGAAGCUUCCUUUAAAACCCACACACAGGGUUUGGAGAGCUUUCGGAUAGCUGAACAUGUGAAGGUUCCUGGAGGGUGGCAUGACUGGGGAGA